This is a long non-coding RNA of Phragmites australis (common reed), 401 nucleotides long. RefSeq lists it as uncharacterized. The record is from RefSeq and is a predicted model, not a curated record. The transcript is spliced from 3 exons. Lineage: Eukaryota; Viridiplantae; Streptophyta; Magnoliopsida; Poales; Poaceae.
UCUCUUUGUCAUCCAGACUGACUAUAGAAGUAUCGUUGUCCUCGAUGCGAAAAGAAAUCCUAGAGUCGAAUACCAAUUUGUCAUAGACUUGCUACAAAGGGUGUACGUGCGCUACGUCAAGAGGAAAGGAUAUUCCGGAAUGGAAAGUUGGUUACAACUUUCCUUGUAUGAUGCAGACUGAGGGCAAUCAUUUAUGUGGCUACUAUGUAUGUGACUUCAUGCAUGGAUGGAUCGAAAACGAUUUUAGUACCAUUAUCAAAGCUGAGGACCUCAAGCUGGAAAUAGGUGUCCUCAUGCCACAGAGAAACAUCGCAAUUCAGGAACAACUCUACAGGUUCAUCAAUGACCAAAUCAUUUCAUAGUCCAGGUGGUACCAUGUUUUCAAAUGGUGAUGUUCGAAA